Molecule: ribosomal RNA, 510 nt
Filed under: uncultured bacterium
Lineage: Bacteria
Description: bacterial SSU rRNA
Rfam family: Bacterial small subunit ribosomal RNA
Source: RNAcentral
AGAGUUUGAUCCUGGCUCAGAUUGAACGCUGGCGGCAUGCCUUACACAUGCAAGUCGAACGGCAGCACGGGGGCAACCCUGGUGGCGAGUGGCGAACGGGUGAGUAAUACAUCGGAACGUGUCCUGUAGUGGGGGAUAGCCCGGCGAAAGCCGGAUUAAUACCGCAUACGAUCUACGGAAGAAAGCGGGGGAUCCUUCGGGACCUCGCGCUAUAGGGGCGGCCGAUGGCAGAUUAGCUAGUUGGUGGGGUAAAGGCCUACCAAGGCGACGAUCUGUAGCUGGUCUGAGAGGACGACCAGCCACACUGGGACUGAGACACGGCCCAGACUCCUACGGGAGGCAGCAGUGGGGAAUUUUGGACAAUGGGGGAAACCCUGAUCCAGCAAUGCCGCGUGUGUGAAGAAGGCCUUCGGGUUGUAAAGCACUUUUGUCCGGAAAGAAAACUUCUGCCCUAAUACGGUGGGAGGAUGACGGUACCGGAAGAAUAAGCACCGGCUAACUACGUGCCAG